GAUGAACGCUGGCGGCGUGCCUAACACAUGCAAGUCGAGCGAUUCUCUUCGGAGAAGAGCGGCGGACGGGUGAGUAACGCGUGGGUAACCUGCCCUGUACACACGGAUAACAUACCGAAAGGUAUGCUAAUACGAGAUAAUAUGCUUUUAUCGCAUGGUAGAAGUAUCAAAGCUUUUGCGGUACAGGAUGGACCCGCGUCUGAUUAGCUAGUUGGUAAAGUAACGGCUUACCAAGGCGACGAUCAGUAGCCGACCUGAGAGGGUGAUCGGCCACAUUGGAACUGAGACACGGUCCAAACUCCUACGGGAGGCAGCAGUGGGAAUAUUGCACAAUGGGCGAAAGCCUGAUGCAGCAACGCCGCGUGAGCGAUGAAGGCCUGGUCGUAAAGCUCUGUCCUCAAGGAAGAUAAUGACGGUACUUGAGGAGGAAGCCCGGCUAACU
Molecule: ribosomal RNA, 442 nt
Filed under: uncultured bacterium
Lineage: Bacteria
Description: bacterial SSU rRNA
Rfam family: Bacterial small subunit ribosomal RNA
Source: RNAcentral